GAUGAACGCUGGCGGCGUGCCUAAUACAUGCAAGUCGAGCGAACGGACGAGAAGCUUGCUUCUCUGAUGUUAGCGGCGGACGGGUGAGUAACACGUGGAUAACCUACCUAUAAGACUGGGAUAACUUCGGGAAACCGGAGCUAAUACCGGAUAAUAUUUUGAACCGCAUGGUUCAAAAGUGAAAGACGGUCUUGCUGUCACUUAUAGCUGGAUCCGCGCUGCAUUAGCUAGUUGGUAAGGUAACGGCUUACCAAGGCAACGAUGCAUAGCCGACCUGAGAGGGGGAACCGCCACAGUGGAACUGAGACACGGUCCAGACUCCUACGGGAGGCAGCAGUAGGGAAUCUUCCGCAAUGGGCGGAAGCCUGACGGAGCAACGCCGCGUGAGUGAUGAAGGUCUUCGGAUCGGAAAACUCUGUUAUUAGGGAAGAACAUAUGUGUAAGUAACUGAGCACAUCUUGACGGUACCUAAUCAGAAAGCCACGGCUAACUACGUG
This 497-nucleotide ribosomal RNA is filed under the name uncultured bacterium. RNAcentral describes it as "partial 16S ribosomal RNA". It matches the Rfam family "Bacterial small subunit ribosomal RNA", at positions 28 to 507 of the family's 1533-position model. The record is from RNAcentral.